Molecule: ribosomal RNA, 491 nt
Filed under: uncultured bacterium
Lineage: Bacteria
Description: bacterial SSU rRNA
Rfam family: Bacterial small subunit ribosomal RNA
Source: RNAcentral
GAUGAACGCUAGCUACAGGCUUAACACAUGCAAGUCGCGGGGCAGCAUGAAUUUAGCUUGCUAAAUUUGAUGGCGACCGGCGCACGGGUGAGUAACGCGUAUCCAACCUGCCCAUGUCCACGGGAUAGCCCGUCGAAAGGCGGAUUAAUACCGUAUGAGGUCACAUGCGGGCAUCUAAGUGUGACGAAAGGUUUGGCGGACAUGGAUGGGGAUGCGUCCGAUUAGCUAGUUGGCGGGGUAACGGCCCACCGAGACGACGAUCAGUAGGGGUUCUGAGAGGGAAGUCCCCCACAUUGGAACUGAGACACGGUCCAAACUCCUACGGGAGGCAGCAGUGAGGAAUAUUGGUCAAUGGGCGGAAGCCUGAACCAGCCAAGUAGCGUGCAGGACGACGGCCCUAUGGGGUUGUAAACUGCUUUUAUGCGGGGAUAAAGUGGGCCACGCGUGGCCUUUUGCAGGUACCGCAUGAAUAAGGACCGGCUAAUUCCGUG